This 257-nucleotide ribosomal RNA is filed under the name uncultured eukaryote. RNAcentral describes it as "partial 18S ribosomal RNA". It matches the Rfam family "Eukaryotic small subunit ribosomal RNA", at positions 6 to 263 of the family's 1831-position model. The record is from RNAcentral.
GGUUGAUCCUGCCAGUAGUCAUAUGCUUGUUUCAAAGAUUAAGCCAUGCAAGUCUAAGUAUAAGCUUUUAUACGGCAAAACUGCGAAUAGCUCAUUAUAACAGUUAUAAUCCACACGAAGAUCGUUACCAAAUGGAUAUCCAUGGUAAUUCUGGAGCUAAUACAUGCAAAAACACCUGACUUCGUGGAAGGGUGGCAUUCAUUAGCAUUGGAACCAACCAGGUAGCAAUACCUGUUUUUGGUGAUCAUAAUGACCGA